Long non-coding RNA from Portunus trituberculatus (swimming crab), 915 nucleotides. RefSeq lists it as uncharacterized. Lineage: Eukaryota; Metazoa; Arthropoda; Malacostraca; Decapoda; Portunidae. The transcript has 3 exons. The record is from RefSeq and is a predicted model, not a curated record.
UUUUAUAGCAAAGAGAGAGAGAGAGAGAGAGAGAGAGAGAGAGAAUGAAGAAAUGAAAGAACUUAAUGGGAUAAAUGUGUGUGAGAGAGAGAGAGAGAGAGAGAGCCAAAAUACGUACAUAAAAACAGUCAUGUGUACCUCUAUAUAUAAACUUACAUGUAGGCAACCCUAUGUGUACCAAUUCUAUGUAUGUGUGGCCAUGUACGUAUCGAAUUCUGUGUACGUGAGGCCAUGUGUAACCAUAUCACCCCCAUGUGCAUGUGUACGUGUUGGGAAGCAUGUAAACCAGCCCUGUGUACGUAAAUAAGGGGCCAUGUGCGUAUUUUUAGCAUGUACGUAUCUUUUAGCAGGAAUUCCAUGUGCGUAUAUGAAAAAAAACGUUCACAUGUGCGUGUAGACAAGAAAACAACCACAUGUAUGCAUGUAAGAGGCUGUUUGUAAGUUUAUCAGCCCAUGUGCAUAUUGAAAAAACAGUCGUGUGUGCGUAUCAUAGCUGUACUGAAAGAAAAACAGUCACAUGUGAGUAUUGAAACCUGUGUGUACAUUGAGAAACAGUCAUGUACGUUUUUGUGUGUGUGUGCGCGUGUAUGUGUGUGUGUACAUUGAAAACUAGUAAUGGAAAGGUAUUAAAAAAUGUGUAUACCUGGCCAUGUACGUUUUCUGUGUGUGUGUGUGUGUGUGUGUGUGUGUGUGUGUGUGUGUGUGUGUGUGUGUGUUGGCAGGUGCGCAUGAGGUCUACUUGAGAGAGAGGGAGAGAGAAUUUACCCUUAAGUUUUAGCUCUCCCUUCACUCUCCCACGCGCGCUACCUCUCCCUCCUGCCCAGUGAGAGUAGCCACACUCUCCCUGCACACUGUGAAGUGAGCGAGUGAGCAAGGAGAGAGAGAGAGAGAGAGACAGAGAGACAGAGAUUAUUA